CCAAAAGGACAUAGAUGGAAGUAGUGAGAAAAGAUAUAGGGAUUUAUCAAUUGCCAGAAACAAUUUCUCAACCAUCUAUUUGAUUACAUUAAGAACCAUAUGUCAACUGCCGGAAACAAUUUUACUCACUUCAAAUCAUUUAUAACCCACCUAUAGAUAAAUGACAAGCAGCAUUAGAAACUCAUUAUCUAUAGUAUCGAAAAGAUUUUAGCAUUUCCAUGAGCUCAGAAUGGAUAAUAGAGACUCCAAGAAAAGAAGCUCAGUUUAUGCUUCCAUAGUAACAAUUGCAAAUGCCUACAAGAAGUUCAUUUUGCAUGUUUCUUCAAAAUUACCAAGUUCUAUAAAUUGCAGAAUUAACAUAAUUUUUUGUGCCCAGAACUUCAAUUCCGCCUUCUGUAACUUCCUUCUCAGCCUGUAACAGGUUAAUACAUUGAGAAUCCAAUGAACAAAGAGAAUCGUCUCUAGGCAUAGUUGUUUGGGGUGGCGGUUCCACAACAUAACAUAAAAAAUUCCAUUCUCACCAGGUCUCAACUUAAAACAUUAAAAAAAGACAAAGAAGGAGAAAGAAUACAAAAACCAAAACAAGAAAACUCUAUUAAUCCUAUCCCAUCAUAUGGUUGAAGUUGAUUCUGCAGCUUCACUUUUUGCCUUGCUCCCUCUUACCUGUACCAUGAGCACCCCAGCAUGAAUAAAGUAAAUCCAAUAGGAGUAAGGGCCACAUUGAAAUACUAUGUUCCUUAUUGUCUAAACUCUAAAGUGCUUGCAAGGCCUUAAUUAGCAGUCACACAUUAACAUGCCAGGUUCCUAAUUAGCAGAAGGCUUAAUUGUAUCUUUCAAAACCUCCAAUUCUUCACCCCUAUAAUGCAAUUUUAAAUGCCAAUAGACCUCCAAUUCUUCACCCCUAUAAUGCAAUUUUAAAUGCCAAUAGACCUCCAAUUCUUCACCCCUAUAAUGCAAUUUUAAAUGCCAAUAGACCUCCAAUUCUUCACCCCUAUAAUGCAAUUUUAAAUGCCAAUAGACCUCCAAUUCUUCACCCCUAUAAUGCCAUUUUAAAUGCCAAUAGGGUUUAACCAUCCACUAAAAUUCACGAAACCAUAAAGAGGUUUACCCUAUUAGCAUCAUGUUUUCUGCUGUCCCAAGAGCAUAUUUCUACAAUGUUGGAAAAGCAGUCCCAAGAGCAUCUACAAUGUUGGGAAAGCAGUGAAUAUUUAUUCAAGAAGUUCGGCUAAAGUUCUUGAGAUAAACGAAUUGGAAAAAAAAGCUCAUCCUUGUAUGAGAUCAAUGGCUGUCAUAACCAAUUAAAUAAGCUGAGAACAUUUGCGUGAUUUGUUCCAAGUCCCUGGUAGAAUCUUUUAUUCCUUCUCUUCGUGAACCUUCUGAUGACAAACAGUAUGCGUGGGAAGAUGUAAUUUGACAGUGAUGGAGUUCAUUGUAAGAAAAACUAAAAGAAAAGACACUAACCUAACAACAAAAUAAGACACCUAGAGGGAGGUAGGGAGGGAGUCCCGAAAGGUUAUCUGUUGAUUGAAUACCAACCUCCAAUUCCUUUUCUUCCAUCUGUUCCUCCAUUGGUCAGUGACGGAAAGGAUUGAUUUUGUAAUAUAACUAUUUUCUUGGAAGUUAUCUUUAAUCUUAUCUGAAAAAGUGUGUGAUUUAGCUCUGAAAUCUACUGAUUGGACGAAUAGCUGCAUCGCAUUGAGUUAGACGCUGAAAUUGAUUAGACUCUUAUUAGGUUUGAAUUAACAGGUCUUGAUUGUGUGGCUGUUGGAGUUGGAAUGAGAGUUUUGUGAGAAUUUUGUGGAGUAUAUAUGAGAAUAUAUAUGUUCAAGAGAAAAAUUUAAAUGAAUAAUGGAUAAUUCUAGUAUUCAUGUGUCAGAAUUGCUAACACUGAUUUUAUAAUUCUAUCCUAUCCUUCAGGAAGAUGACUUGCCAUACUCCCUUUAUACGCAGGCUUCCUGCCUUCUGGGGGGCUACAUCAAUGCAGUAGCAGGAAAAGUUAUGAUGAGCUGUAUUCUGGAAAACUAAUUUAAUUUAAAGGCUGAAUAUACACUAAUGAACUACUUUACAGGAGUCUCCUUAUUCUGAAAUUUCUAUUAUGCUGAAGGGCUAAAUUGUUGCAAUCAUACCAUAUGAUCUGAUAUUACCAUUUUUGUAGCAUGUUCUUCAAAAGAUAAUACUUAAAAUUUGUUUUGCUUGCUUGUCUGUUAAUUACAAAUAUGCUUUCAUGUACUUUGUAAUAGAAUGAUUCUUGAACUUCUUCCUUUGUGUUAUAUUACAAUCACGUGCAACGCACGUGCCCUUGCUUGUAAACUAACAAGGCAUUUUUUGACUGACUAUUGUG
This 2341-nucleotide long non-coding RNA is filed under the name Amborella trichopoda. RNAcentral's name for it is "long non-coding RNA (ATRI_LNC004859)". The record is from RNAcentral. Lineage: Eukaryota; Viridiplantae; Streptophyta; Magnoliopsida; Amborellales; Amborellaceae.